GACGAACGCUGGCGGCGUGCCUAAUACAUGCAAGUAGAACGCUGAAGGAGGAGCUUGCUUCUCUGGAUGAGUUGCGAACGGGUGAGUAACGCGUAGGUAACCUGCCUGGUAGCGGGGGAUAACUAUUGGAAACGAUAGCUAAUACCGCAUAACAGUAGAUAUCGCAUGAUAUCUACUUGAAAGGUGCAAUUGCAUCACUACCAUAUGGACCUGCGUUGUAUUAGCUAGUUGGUGAGGUAACGGCUCACCAAGGCGACGAUACAUAGCCGACCCGAGAGGGGGGUCGGCCACCCUGGGAAUGGGACACGGCCCAGACUCCUACGGGGGGCAGCAGUAGGGGAUCUUCGGCAAUGGGCGGAAGUCUGAACGAGCAACGCCGCGUGAGUGAAGAAGGGUUUCGGAUCGUAAAGCUCUGUUGUAAGAGAAGAACGAGUGUGAGAGUGGAAAGUUCACACUGUGACGGUAUCUUACCAGAAAGGGACGGCUAACUACGUG
This 495-nucleotide ribosomal RNA is filed under the name uncultured bacterium. Its description in RNAcentral is "partial 16S ribosomal RNA". It matches the Rfam family "Bacterial small subunit ribosomal RNA", at positions 28 to 507 of the family's 1533-position model. The record is from RNAcentral.